GUCUUCGGAGCCCAAGGAGGCGGGGCGGAGGCGGGGCUUGGCGCUGGUGGAGAUUACUGUGGGUAGGUGGGUUGAGACCAGGGGACUACGGUCGGCGUUGGGCACAGCGGACCCGAAACAAAGGACUCUCGGCCCCCUCUCGGCGCGGCGUCUCGUCUGCUGUGGCUGAGCCGUUAGGUCGAGUGUGCGCGGCCGACCGGUGCCUUCGCCGCGGCAUCUCGGUGGGCUCCUGCUCGGUCCCCACGGCCAGCGCCGCGGUGCGGGACCCGGCUCGGCGGCACCUGCUGCUUAGGGAGCCAGCGGCCCGGCCCCGUGCUCAUGAUGGGGCUGAUUUUCGCUAAACUGUGGAGCCUCUUCUGUAAUCAAGCUCUUGUCAUCUUUGGUACCUGCCACCACCAUGAAGGGUUGCCCCUGUGCCACACCACCCUGCCUUGGAGCCAGCAGAGUACAGACUGAAACCUCCAAAUACUGUAAGCUAAAUAAACUUUUCCUUUCUUCA
Molecule: long non-coding RNA, 499 nt
Organism: Cavia porcellus (domestic guinea pig)
Lineage: Eukaryota; Metazoa; Chordata; Mammalia; Rodentia; Caviidae
Exons: 2
Source: RefSeq, a predicted model, not a curated record